UACCGGCUGUGAUUUAGCGGCUAGUUGGUUUCGUUUGGCAAAUACACGCGGCGUUCGUUAGUUUGCGCAUCUACGUUUCUCUCACCCUCUAUCGGUCUGUGUUUCUCAUUGUUCUGAACCUGUGUUGAUCAGUUCACAUAGCAUAACCGAGGCUUGUCGAUGCGAACACAGAAUUUUAUAGAACGAACGCUUUCGAGAGAUCGGAUUUUAUCCUCGAUCAAUAAAAAGUCGAUAUAUGUAUGUGAUAAUAACGUACGGUUAAUAAUUGGAUCUAUGGUUGAACCAUCAAAAAGAUGGUGUAAUCACGUUUCUUGUUUGGAGAAAUAUGAUAUGAUUAAGGUCUCGAAAUAAUUUCGUUAUGUAUGCCGCUGAAAUGUAUUCUUCACUGUAAGGAUCAACAAUUAUAUAUAUAUUUUAUUAUAUUAGUAAUAGGAACAAUGGAAAAGAGUAACAUUUUUUAAAGAUUAAUUAAUAGUAGAGAUUAAGUCUGUUCGAAUUUUAUAUACUGAAUUGAAUACAUUGAAUUUAGUGUGUCAUGGAAUAGAUAUUCGUUCGAGCAAAGAAAAACCACCCGGAAAUGUAACAAACCGUCUAAUGCGUGUAGCCAUAUAUGACAGCUUUUACACCGUACAAACCGGCUGUUUAGUGUGUCGCGCAUGUUUCUCGAAUAAAAACGGCGAUGAAAACCGCAUCCUGGAAGAACGUCCUUUGGAAUUGCUGUGGAACAAAAGCACGCUUUACACAUGCUCGUAAAAAUGCAGACACGUAGAUCGUUUAAACCGUACGAACGCACAAUUGCUUAUCCACGGAGGUUCGCAAGAUACUCUUGGGUCGAUCGUCGAUAAAACCUCAAUUUCUCAUAGGAAGACUAAUUUCAGUUCGCAUGAAAAACUACCCCGACAGUUCGGUUCCACGAAAAUACAUGAGAAGUUCCAAUAAAAAAAGAGCGAGCGAGUGAGAGAGAGAGAGAGAGAGAGAGAGAGAGAGAGAAACGACCACACGCGAACCGGUGGUAGCAGAUGCACGAGAAGAUGGAUUCCCGUUAAAAACGGCCGAUAUCGUCAAAAAUAAUGGCGUGGAAGGAACGCAUUUUGGCACGACGGACACACUAGAUACCGUGGAAUGGAUUCGAGCCAGAGAGAAUGAUAACACUUAAACAAAUUUUGCCUGCCUUAUCUUGUCGUAUAUUAUUCGAGGUCCAAAACAUGGGGAUUAUACCGGACCCUUUCUGUCUUAAGUAUGGUAGCACCAUAUUAACUGGUUUAUGACUAUUACUCUGUCAGUAAUUAAUUAUUGUAGCCAAAUGUAUCAAGUAAUUGUACGUCCAACCACCCAAUGAAGAAGAAAGAAGCUAUGAAUUUCCUAAAAAUAUACUUCUCUUAAUAACUGACCACACAAAAAGCUGGUCCCAUGACCAGUUAGGAAA
Molecule: long non-coding RNA, 1426 nt
Organism: Bombus impatiens (common eastern bumble bee)
Lineage: Eukaryota; Metazoa; Arthropoda; Insecta; Hymenoptera; Apidae
Exons: 2
Source: RefSeq, a predicted model, not a curated record